AUUGAACGCUGGCGGCAUGCCUUACACAUGCAAGUCGAACGGCAGCACGGGUGCUUGCACCUGGUGGCGAGUGGCGAACGGGUGAGUAAUACAUCGGAACAUGUCCUGUAGUGGGGGAUAGCCCGGCGAAAGCCGGAUUAAUACCGCAUACGAUCUACGGAUGAAAGCGGGGGGCUUUGGGGCCUCGCGCUGUAGGGUUGGCCGAUGGCUGUUUAGCUAGUUGGUGGGGUAAAGGCCUACCAAGGCGACGAUCAGUAGAGGGUCUGAGAGGAGGACCAGCCACACUGGGACUGAGCCACGGCCCAGACUCCUACGGGAGGCAGCAGUGGGGAAUUUGGGACAAUGGGCGAAAGCCUGAUCCAGCAAUGCCGCGUGUGUGAAGAAGGCCUUCGGGUUGUAAAGCACUUUUGUCCGGAAAGAAAUCCUUGGCUCUAAUACAGUCGGGGGAUGACGGUACCGGAAGAAUAAGCACCGGCUAACUACGUG
RNAcentral lists this ribosomal RNA (486 nucleotides) under uncultured bacterium. RNAcentral's name for it is "partial 16S ribosomal RNA". It matches the Rfam family "Bacterial small subunit ribosomal RNA", at positions 30 to 507 of the family's 1533-position model. The record is from RNAcentral.